Molecule: long non-coding RNA, 2606 nt
Filed under: Sus scrofa (pig)
Lineage: Eukaryota; Metazoa; Chordata; Mammalia; Artiodactyla; Suidae
Description: lncRNA (ENSSSCG00030032271.1)
Source: RNAcentral
GAUGAUCCAGCAAUUUUGCUUCUUGGGUAUAGAUACCCAAAAGAAUUGAAAGCAGGGACUCAAACAGAUACUUGUACACCCAUGUUCAUAGCAACAAUAUUCCCAACAGCCAAAAGGUGACAACCCAAAUGUCCAUCUAGAGAUGACAUAUAUAUAUAUAUGCCACAUUUUGUAUAUGUAUGUUAUAUAUAUAUGCAUAACAUUGCAUUUAUACACACACACACACACUGGAUUAUUCAGCCUUAAAAAGGAAUGAAUAAUGACUGCUACAACAUGGGUGAGCCUUGAAAACGUAAGUGAAAUAAGCCAGGUACAACGACAUGAUUCCACUCUUAGGAGGUAGUGUAGUUAAAUUCAGAGACUCUUAGGGAUUACCAGGGGCUAGGGAGAGGAGAGAAUGGGGAGGUACUAUAUAAUAGGUACAGAAUUUGUUUGAGAUGAUGGAAAUAUUCUGGAAAUAAUAGUUGCACAACUUUGUGCGUGUAAUUAACACCACUGAAUUGUACACUCAUAAUGGCUAAAAGAUUUAUAUAAUGCAUGUUUCUCUACCAUAAAAACGAAAAGCAAAGAGCUCAACAGAUACAAGAGCUCUAAGAUCACAACCAAUCACUGGAAAACCUCGUUUUAAUUUUAAUUCCAGCAUCUACAUUGGACAAUUAGCAUUUGUAAAAACCUUUUCAUGCUUUGAGAACUAAAUGAAAAGACACUCAUGUUGAAAGCUUACCAGAUGCUACUUUUCAGUGUAUGUGCAUUUGUUUUAAACUGAAUGCACUAAGUAGCAUUUGCAGGAUGAACAUGGAUAACAAUACUUGAGGGUUAGAAUUCCUCGCUAUCCAACCACACAUUGUAUUAUACAGGCUGGCGACAACAGCAUCCAUUCUCAUUAGGUAUUUGGAAAUUAUUUUAGUGUCUUGCAUUUGGCCUCACUAUCAAUCACCAUCAAUAGAAAAGUUAUUUCAAACUAGCUCAUUCUAAAUAGACAACUAAGUGGUAGCUUCCAUGAUGUCUUAGGUUCUUUGCGGGGUGGAAGAGCAGGGUAAAUGCUCCCUGCACAUAAUAUACUUAACAUAUUUCAAGUAUCAUUUUACUCUUAAUAUGACAAGUGAGAAAAUGCUGAUUUAUUUAUUUCCUCCCCCUUUGUAGGUGGGAAAUAGAAGGCAUUUGAGCUGAGAUAUUACGACGCCAAAACCUUUAUCAGCUUCUCCAAAUAUUAUUUGCACUCUUCCACUUUAUUUAUUUUUCUUUUUAGGGCCGCACGUGUAGCAUAUGAAAAGUGUCCAGCUGCAGCUCCAGCUCUGAUUUGACCUCUAGCCUAGGGAUCCUGGGGACUUCCAUGUGCCUGGAGUGUGGCCCUAAGAAGCAAAAAAAAAAAAAGUUUAAAGAAGGCAGAGCUGACCCCCACAAUGAUGCAAGAAGUGGCUUUCUAGUCACCCACAGGACAUAUGACAAUGUGGAGGGGGUCAGGAAUUUGGUUUGCUCAGAUAGCCAAUUUAACUGUAAAAAAAUAGCUGAAAAGCUAAAUUUAGACAGUCAAGACUCAUUCUGAAAGAAAGCUUGCUCCGGAGGGAAAAAAAUCCUAGCUGUUGUGGUUGAUGAUCCUGUAGAGAGAGGCCAAACCAAAACAGAGUUUCACUGGAACCACCACUUGGGUGGAUAUUCAGGGCAGUCCUACAAUUUUUUUCAUUGGUCUUGGAGGAACAAAAAUGAGCUGAGCUUCCUCAUUUUUCAUCAGCUCUAUAGGUACAAUGAUUUAAGCAGAGUGAAACCUUUAGAGUCGAGUGUGACAAAGUAGAGAGCAUAGGGCUAGUUUAUUGGGAGGAUCCUAGCAAAUCGUUAGCUCCGAAUGAGCAGCUAAACAUGGGAGCAUUUCUCUUAUUUCAAGCUGAGCUCAUUUGAGUAACAAGUAGGUUACCUGCAGGCUGGGAGUUACACUGUCAACAGGGAGCUAGAGCUCAAUGUUACUCUUUGUUUUUUUUCUUAUUGCCAUGGCAGGUGGAAGUUCCUGGGCCAGGAUCAAAACCAAGCCACUACAAGGACAACUCCGGAUCCUUAACCUGCUGCAUCAUAAGAGAUCAGUGUUAUGUAUUGUUAUACAGAAUAGAUGAAAAUGGUUUCACUUUAAACGUUUAAAGAAAAUAAUGCAAGGAAAAGUAUUUCAGAUAUGUUUUUGUGUUAACAUUAGCAUUUUAGUUAAGGAGCUAGUUAAAUCAUGUUCCUCCUCAUAAGAAUAUUGAGUCAACAAGAGUUUAUUUAGGAACUUGGAUCUUUGCUGCCCCAGUUUCCUUACCAGUCUCUAGUAAGAUGCUCUAAUCAGUCAAUAUCUUUAUUGUUGCUGCCCAGAUAAACCAGCAUUACAGACUAUAGAUGACUUAAUCCAGGGCCUUGUGGCAGUGACCUCAGAGAACUAGCAUUGCUGCAGAGGUGCAGAUUUGAUCACUGGCCUGGAGGGUGGAUUCACUCCCUUGGUUUACAAGGCAAAAACUUAGAAUAAUUUUUCAUGUUUUCUUAGUUCCUGUUACUGAAUUUUUACAACUUGCAUUUAAGAUGGUGUUUUGUACUAUGUAAUAAAGUAUAUACGUACUUGACAUCCUAAUAAACCAUACAUU